GACGAACGCUGGCGGCGUGCCUAAUACAUGCAAGUCGAACGCAGUUUCUUUCACCGUAGCUUGCUACACCGACAGAAAAUGAGUGGCGAACGGGUGAGUAACACGUGGGUAACCUGCCCAUCAGCGGGGGAUAACACUUGGAAACAGGUGCUAAUACCGCAUAAUUCCAUUUACUGCAUGGUAGAUGGAUGAAAGGCGCUUUUGCGUCACUGAUGGAUGGACCCGCGGUGCAUUAGCUAGUUGGUGGGGUAACGGCCUACCAAGGCUGCGAUGCAUAGCCGACCUGAGAGGGUGAUCGGCCACACUGGGACUGAGACACGGCCCAGACUCCUACGGGAGGCAGCAGUAGGGAAUCUUCGGCAAUGGACGCAAGUCUGACCGAGCAACGCCGCGUGAGUGAAGAAGGUUUUCGGAUCGUAAAACUCUGUUGUUAGAAAAGAACAAGGAUGAGAGUGGAAAGUUCAUCCCUUGACGGUAUCUAACCAGAAAGCCACGGCUAACUACGUG
RNAcentral lists this ribosomal RNA (507 nucleotides) under uncultured bacterium. RNAcentral describes it as "partial 16S ribosomal RNA". It matches the Rfam family "Bacterial small subunit ribosomal RNA", at positions 28 to 507 of the family's 1533-position model. The record is from RNAcentral.